UACGAAGGGGGCUAGCGUUGCUCGGAAUCACUGGGCGUAAAGCGCACGUAGGCGGCUAACUAAGUCAGGGGUGAAAUCCUGGAGCUCAACUCCAGAACUGCCUUUGAUACUGGUGAGCUUGAGUCCGGAAGAGGUGAGUGGAACUGCGAGUGUAGAGGUGAAAUUCGUAGAUAUUCGCAAGAACACCAGUGGCGAAGGCGGCUCACUGGUCCGGUACUGACGCUGAGGUGCGAAAGCGUGGGGAGCAAACAGG
This 253-nucleotide ribosomal RNA is filed under the name uncultured bacterium. RNAcentral's name for it is "partial 16S ribosomal RNA". It matches the Rfam family "Bacterial small subunit ribosomal RNA", at positions 524 to 776 of the family's 1533-position model. The record is from RNAcentral.